This 424-nucleotide ribosomal RNA is filed under the name uncultured Desulfomicrobium sp. RNAcentral's name for it is "bacterial SSU rRNA". It matches the Rfam family "Bacterial small subunit ribosomal RNA", at positions 95 to 524 of the family's 1533-position model. Lineage: Bacteria; Pseudomonadati; Thermodesulfobacteriota; Desulfovibrionia; Desulfovibrionales; Desulfomicrobiaceae. The record is from RNAcentral.
UUGGCGGACGGGUGAGAAACGCGUGGGUAAUCUACCCUUGGAUUUGGGAUAACUCUGCGAAAGUGGAGCUAAUACCGGAUAGUCUGGCUUUAAAUAAGAAGUCGGUAAAGGAUGCCUCUGCAUAUGCAUUCGUCCGAGGAUGAGCCCGCGUCUCAUUAGCUAGUUGGUAGGGUAAUGGCCUACCAAGGCAACGAUGAGUAGCUGGUCUGAGAGGAUGAUCAGCCACACUGGAACUGAAACACGGUCCAGACUCCUACGGGAGGCAGCAGUGGGGAAUAUUGCGCAAUGGGCGAAAGCCUGACGCAGCAACGCCGCGUGAAGGACGAAGGCCUUCGGGUUGUAAACUUCUUUGACCAGGGACGAAACAAAUGACGGUACCUGAAGAACAAGCCACGGCUAACUACGUGCCAGCAGCCGCGGUAAU